This 460-nucleotide ribosomal RNA is filed under the name uncultured bacterium. RNAcentral's name for it is "partial 16S ribosomal RNA". It matches the Rfam family "Bacterial small subunit ribosomal RNA", at positions 338 to 795 of the family's 1533-position model. The record is from RNAcentral.
CCUACGGGAGGCAGCAGUGAGGAAUAUUGGUCAAUGGCCGUAAGGCUGAACCAGCCAAGUCGCGUGAGGGAAUACUGCCCUAUGGGUUGUAAACCUCUUUUAUCCGGGGAUAAAGGCGUCCACGUGUGGCUGUUUGCAGGUAACGCAUGAAUAAGGACUGGCUAAUUCCGUGCCAGCAGCCGCGGUAAUACGGAGGGUCCGGGCGUUAUCCGGAUUUAUUGGGUUUAAAGGGUGCGUAGGCCGGUCUUUAAGCGUGCCGUGAAAUUUUGUGGCUCAACCCUCAGAGUGCGGCUCGAACUGGGGACCUUGAGUGCGCGGAAGGCAGGCGGAAUUCGUGGGGGAGCGGUGAAAUGCUUAGAUAUCACGAAGAACCCCGAUUGCGAAGGCAGCCUGCCGCAGCGUUACUGACGCUGAAGCUCGAAAGCGCGGGUAUCGAACAGGAUUAGAUACCCGAGUAGUC